GGUUCUAUAUUCAAUAAUGAUUUUAAAUUGCAAAUUUGAAGGUGAAAAUUUUUCUAGAGCCU
RNAcentral lists this transfer RNA (62 nucleotides) under Tenebrionoidea sp. 9 KM-2017. RNAcentral describes it as "tRNA-Cys". The record is from RNAcentral. Lineage: Eukaryota; Metazoa; Arthropoda; Insecta; Coleoptera.